RNAcentral lists this ribosomal RNA (253 nucleotides) under uncultured bacterium. RNAcentral describes it as "partial 16S ribosomal RNA". It matches the Rfam family "Bacterial small subunit ribosomal RNA", at positions 524 to 776 of the family's 1533-position model. The record is from RNAcentral.
UACGAAGGGGGCUAGCGUUGUUCGGAAUUACUGGGCGUAAAGCGCACGUAGGCGGAUUGGUCAGUUAGGGGUGAAAUCCCGGGGCUCAACCCCGGAACUGCCUUUAAUACUACCAAUCUAAAAUCCGAGAGAGAUGAAUGGAAUUCCGAGUGUAGAGGUGAAGUUCGUAGAUAUUCGGAGGAACACCAGUGGCGAAGGCGGCUCACUGGCUCGGUACUGACGCUGAGGUGCGAAAGCGUGGGGAGCAAACAGG